CAGUGAAAUUGAACUCGCUGUGAAGAUGCAGUGUACCCGCGGCAAGACGGAAAGACCCCGUGAACCUUUACUAUAGCUUGACACUGAACAUUGAGCCUUGAUGUGUAGGAUAGGUGGGAGGCUUUGAAGUGUGGACGCCAGUCUGCAUGGAGCCGACCUUGAAAUACCACCCUUUAAUGUUUGAUGUUCUAACGUGGACCCGUAAUCCGGGUUGCGGACAGUGUCUGGUGGGUAGUUUGACUGGGGCGGUCUCCUCCUAAAGAGUAACGGAGGAGCACGAAGGUUGGCUAAUCCUGGUCGGACAUCAGGAGGUUAGUGCAAUGGCAUAAGCCAGCUUGACUGCGAGCGUGACGGCGCGAGCAGGUGCGAAAGCAGGUCAUAGUGAUCCGGUGGUUCUGAAUGGAAGGGCCAUCGCUCAACGGAUAAAAGGUACUCCGGGGAUAACAGGCUGAUACCGCCCAAGAGUUCAUAUCGACGGCGGUGUUUGGCACCUCGAUGUCGGCUCAUCACAUCCUGGGGCUGAAGUAGGUCCCAAGGGUAUGGCUGUUCGCCAUUUAAAGUGGUACGCGAGCUGGGUUUAGAACGUCGUGAGACAGUUCGGUCCCUAUCUGCCGUGGGCGCUGGAGAACUGAGGGGGGCUGCUCCUAGUACGAGAGGACCGGAGUGGACGCAUCACUGGUGUUCGGGUUGUCAUGCCAAUGGCACUGCCCGGUAGCUAAAUGCGGAAGAGAUAAGUGCUGAAAGCAUCUAAGCACGAAACUUGCCCCGAGAUGAGUUCUCCCUGAGACUUAG
This 792-nucleotide ribosomal RNA is filed under the name Salmonella enterica. Its description in RNAcentral is "partial 23S ribosomal RNA". It matches the Rfam family "Bacterial large subunit ribosomal RNA", at positions 2034 to 2824 of the family's 2925-position model. The record is from RNAcentral. Lineage: Bacteria; Pseudomonadati; Pseudomonadota; Gammaproteobacteria; Enterobacterales; Enterobacteriaceae.